RNAcentral lists this ribosomal RNA (556 nucleotides) under Cutaneotrichosporon moniliiforme. RNAcentral describes it as "eukaryotic LSU rRNA". It matches the Rfam family "Eukaryotic large subunit ribosomal RNA", at positions 113 to 659 of the family's 3401-position model. The record is from RNAcentral. Lineage: Eukaryota; Fungi; Basidiomycota; Tremellomycetes; Trichosporonales; Trichosporonaceae.
AUUUGUAAUCUGGCUGUCUUCGAUAGUCCGAGUUGUAAUCUAUAGACGUGUUUUCCGUGCUGGACCGUAUCUAAGUCCCUUGGAACAGGGUAUCAAAGAGGGUGACAAUCCCGUGCUUGAUACGACCACCAGUGCUCUGUGAUACACGCUCUACGAGUCGAGUUGUUUGGGAAUGCAGCUCAAAAUGGGUGGUAAAUUCCAUCUAAAGCUAAAUAUUGGCGAGAGACCGAUAGCGAACAAGUACCGUGAGGGAAAGAUGAAAAGCACUUUGGAAAGAGAGUUAAACAGUACGUGAAAUUGUUGAAAGGGAAACGAUUGAAGUCAGUCGUGUUCUUUGGAUUCAGCUAGUUCUUCUAGUCUACUUCCUUUGAACGGGUCAACAUCAGUUUUGUCCGGUGGAUAAAGAUAGUAGGAAUGUAGCUCCCUCGGGAGUGUUAUAGACUAUUAUUGCAUGCACUGGGUGAGACUGAGGACUGCAGCUCGCCUUUUGGCCGGCCUUCGGGUACGUUCGAGCUUAGGAUGUUGACAUAAUGGCUUUAAACGACCCGUCUUGAAA